Molecule: transfer RNA, 75 nt
Filed under: Synergistota bacterium
Lineage: Bacteria; Thermotogati; Synergistota
Description: Synergistetes bacterium (hot springs metagenome) tRNA-Lys
Rfam family: tRNA
About the family: Transfer RNA (tRNA) molecules are approximately 80 nucleotides in length.
Source: RNAcentral
GGGCUGUUAGCUCAGUGGCAGAGCAUCGGACUUUUAAUCCGAGGGCCGCAGGUUCGAUUCCUGCACAGCCCACCA